CCGACAGGAUGGGGACAACAUUCCGAAAGGAAUGCUAAUACCGAAUGAAGCGGAGGAGAGGCAUCUCUCUUCCGUGAAAGAUGGCCUCUUUUUAUGCUAUCACCUGUCGAUGGGUCUGCGUCUGAUUAGCUGGUUGGUGAGGUAACGGCUCACCAAGGCGACGAUCAGUAGCCGGUCUGAGAGGAUGAACGGCCACAUUGGGACUGAGACACGGCCCAG
RNAcentral lists this ribosomal RNA (219 nucleotides) under uncultured Veillonellaceae bacterium. RNAcentral's name for it is "partial 16S ribosomal RNA". It matches the Rfam family "Bacterial small subunit ribosomal RNA", at positions 129 to 334 of the family's 1533-position model. The record is from RNAcentral. Lineage: Bacteria; Bacillati; Bacillota; Negativicutes; Veillonellales; Veillonellaceae.